UCCCUCAUAGUCCAGUGGCUAAGAUUCUGUGCUCCCAAUGCAGGAGGCCCAGGUUUGAUUCCUGGUCAGGAAC
RNAcentral lists this transfer RNA (73 nucleotides) under Bos taurus (domestic cattle). It matches the Rfam family "tRNA". Rfam says of the family: Transfer RNA (tRNA) molecules are approximately 80 nucleotides in length. RNAcentral also lists the same sequence under 3 other names. The record is from Rfam by way of RNAcentral. Lineage: Eukaryota; Metazoa; Chordata; Mammalia; Artiodactyla; Bovidae.